Molecule: unclassified non-coding RNA, 208 nt
Filed under: rhizosphere metagenome
Description: partial ribosomal RNA internal transcribed spacer region
Source: RNAcentral
GUAGGUGAACCUGCGGAAGGAUCAUUAGAAGUGAAGCCGGGAAACCGGUCCUUCUAACCCUUGAUUAUCAUAAUUUGUUGCUUUGGUGGGCCGCGCAAGCACUGGCUCCGGCUGGUUAGUGCCCACCAGAGAACCACAACUCUGUAAUAAAUGUGGUCUGAGUACUAUAACAUAGUUAAAACUUUCAACAACGGAUCUCUUGGUUCUG